RNAcentral lists this ribosomal RNA (301 nucleotides) under uncultured bacterium. RNAcentral's name for it is "partial 16S ribosomal RNA". It matches the Rfam family "Bacterial small subunit ribosomal RNA", at positions 509 to 807 of the family's 1533-position model. The record is from RNAcentral.
CAGUAGCCGCGGUAAUACGAAGGGUGCAAGCGUUAAUCGGAAUUACUGGGCGUAAAGCGUGCGUAGGCGGUUUGUUAAGUCUGCUGUGAAAUCCCCGGGCUCAACCUGGGAACGGCAGUGGAUACUGGCAAGCUAGAGUGUGUCAGAGGAUGGUGGAAUUCCCGGUGUAGCGGUGAAAUGCGUAGAGAUCGGGAGGAACAUCAGUGGCGAAGGCGGCCAUCUGGGACAACACUGACGCUGAGGCACGAAAGCGUGGGGAGCAAACAGGAUUAGAUACCCCAGUAGUCCCUGUCUCUUAUAC